CCCUUAGAUGUUCUGGGCCGCACGCGCGCUACACUGAUGCAUUCAACGAGCCUAGCCUUGACCGAGAGGUCCGGGUAACCUUUGAAACUGCAUCGUGAUGGGGCUAGAUUAUUGCAAUUAUUAAUCUUCAACGAGGAAUGCCUAGUAAGCGUGAUUCAUCAAAUCGCGUUGAUUACGUCCCUGCCCUUUGUACACACCGCCCGUCGCUCCUACCGAUUGAGUGUGUUGGUGAGGAGUUUGGAUUGGCCUCGGAAGGUGGUUCGCCACCGUCCGUAGCUGAGAAGUUCUCCAAACCGCCCCACUUAGAGGAAGGAGAAGUCGUAACA
Molecule: ribosomal RNA, 326 nt
Filed under: uncultured eukaryote
Lineage: Eukaryota
Description: partial 18S ribosomal RNA
Rfam family: Eukaryotic small subunit ribosomal RNA
Source: RNAcentral